UAGGAGGGCGCGGCGGUCGCUGCA
Molecule: small nuclear RNA, 24 nt
Filed under: Arabidopsis thaliana (thale cress)
Lineage: Eukaryota; Viridiplantae; Streptophyta; Magnoliopsida; Brassicales; Brassicaceae
Description: snRNA_18034
Source: RNAcentral